This 301-nucleotide unclassified non-coding RNA is filed under the name plant metagenome. Its description in RNAcentral is "partial contains small subunit ribosomal RNA, internal transcribed spacer 1, and 5.8S ribosomal RNA". The record is from RNAcentral.
UUUCCGUAGGUGAACCUGCGGAAGGAUCAUUAUUGAAUAAACCUGAUGUGACUGUUAGCUGGCUUUUCGAAGCAUGUGCUCGUCCGUCAUCUUUAAUCUCUCCACCUGUGCACAUUUUGUAGUCUUGGAUACCUCUCGAGGCAACUCGGAUUUUAGGAUCGCCGUGCUGCACAAGUCGGCUUUCCUUUCAUUUCCAAGACUAUGUUUUUAUAUACACCAAAGUAUGUUUAAAGAAUGUCAUCAGUAGGAACUUGUUUCCUAUAAAAUUAUACAACUUUCAGCAACGGAUCUCUUGGCUCUC